CCUACGGGUGGCAGCAGUGAGGCAUAUUGGUCAAUGGGCGCGAGCCUGAACCAGCCAAGUAGCGUGAAGGAUGACUGCCCUACGGGUUGUAAACUUCUUUUAUAAUGGAAUAAAGUGAGGCACGUGUGCCUUUUUGUAUGUACUUUAUGAAUAAGGAUCGGCUAACUCCGUGCCAGCAGCCGCGGUAUUCCGGAGGAUCCGCGCGUUAUCCGGAUUUAUUGGGUUUAAAGGGAGCGUAGAUGGGUUUUUAAGUCAGUUGUGAAAGUUUGCGGCUCAACCGUAAAAUUGCAAUUGAUACUGGCAGCCUUGAGUACAGUAGAGGUAGGCGGAAUUCGUGGUGUAGCGGUGAAAUGCGUAGAUAUCGCGAAGAACGCCGAUGGCGAAGGCAGCCUACUAAACUGCCACUGACAUUGAUGCUCGAAAGUGUGGGUAUCAAACAGGAUUAGAUACCCUUGUAGUC
This 460-nucleotide ribosomal RNA is filed under the name uncultured bacterium. RNAcentral describes it as "partial 16S ribosomal RNA". It matches the Rfam family "Bacterial small subunit ribosomal RNA", at positions 338 to 795 of the family's 1533-position model. The record is from RNAcentral.